GAUGAACGCUGGCGGCGUGCCUAAUACAUGCAAGUCGAGCGAACAGACGAGGAGCUUGCUCCUUCGACGUUAGCGGCGGACGGGUGAGUAACACGUAGGGAACCUACCUAUAAGACUGGGAUAACUUCGGGAAACCGGAGCUAAUACCGGAUAAUAUUUCGAACCGCAUGGUUCGAUAGUGAAAGAUGGCUUUGCUAUAACUUAUAGAUGGACCUGCGCCGUAUUAGCUAGUUGGUAAGGUAACGGCUUACCAAGGCAACGAUACGUAGCCGACCUGAGAGGGUGAUCGGCCACACUGGAACUGAGACACGGUCCAGACUCCUACGGGAGGCAGCAGUAGGGAAUCUUCCGCAAUGGGCGAAAGCCUGACGGAGCAACGCCGCGUGAGUGAUGAAGGUCUUCGGAUCGUAAAACUCUGUUAUUAGGGAAGAACAAACGUGUAAGUAACUGUGCACGUAUUGACGGUACCUAAUCAGAAAGCCACGGCUAACUACGUG
This 497-nucleotide ribosomal RNA is filed under the name uncultured bacterium. RNAcentral's name for it is "partial 16S ribosomal RNA". It matches the Rfam family "Bacterial small subunit ribosomal RNA", at positions 28 to 507 of the family's 1533-position model. The record is from RNAcentral.